Molecule: ribosomal RNA, 789 nt
Filed under: uncultured archaeon
Lineage: Archaea
Description: bacterial SSU rRNA
Rfam family: Archaeal small subunit ribosomal RNA
Source: RNAcentral
ACUGCUCAGUAACACGUGGACAACCUAACCUAAGGUGGGGGAUAACCCCGGGAAACUGGGGAUAAUACCCCAUAGGCUAUGAAUGCUGGAAUGCUUCGUAGUUGAAAGGUGAGCCGCCAUAGGAUGGGUCUGCGGCCGAUUAGGUAGUUGUUGGGGUAACGGCCCAACAAGCCUGUAAUCGGUACGGGUUGUGGGAGCAAGAGCCCGGAGAUGGAUUCUGAGACACGAAUCCAGGCCCUACGGGGCGCAGCAGGCGCGAAAACUUUACAAUGCGGGAAACCGUGAUAAGGGAACUCCGAGUGCCCGUUAAAUCGGGCUGUCCACCAGUUUAAAAAACUGGUGAAGAAAGGGCCGGGCAAGACCGGUGCCAGCCGCCGCGGUAAUACCGGCGGCUCGAGUGGUGGCCACUAUUACUGGGCUUAAAGCGUUCGUAGCUGGUUUGUUAAGUCUCUGGGGAAAUCUUCCGGCUUAACCGGAAGGCGUCUCAGGGAUACUGGCAGACUAGGGACCGGAAGAGGUGAGGGGUACUUCAGGGGUAGGAGUGAAAUCCUGUAAUCCUUGAGGGACCACCUGUGGCGAAGGCGCCUCACCAGGACGGCUCCGACAGUGAGGGACGAAAGCUGGGGGAGCAAACCGGAUUAGAUACCCGGGUAGUCCCAGCCGUAAACGAUGUGCGUUAGGUGUAUCGGUGACCACGAGUCACCGAGGUGCCGAAGAGAAAUCGUGAAACGUACCGCCUGGGAAGUACGGUCGCAAGGCUGAAACUUAAAGGAAUUGGCGGGGGAGCAC